RNAcentral lists this ribosomal RNA (496 nucleotides) under uncultured bacterium. RNAcentral describes it as "partial 16S ribosomal RNA". It matches the Rfam family "Bacterial small subunit ribosomal RNA", at positions 28 to 507 of the family's 1533-position model. The record is from RNAcentral.
GAUGAACGCUGGCAGCGUGCCUAAUACAUGCAAGUCGAGCGAACAGACGAGGAGCUUGCUCCUCUGACGUUAGCGGCGGACGGGUGAGUAACACGUGGAUAACCUACCUAUAAGACUGGGAUAACUUCGGGAAACCGGAGCUAAUACCGGAUAAUAUAUUGAACCGCAUGGUUCAAUAGUGAAAGACGGUUUUGCUGUCACUUAUAGAUGGAUCCGCGCCGCAUUAGCUAGUUGGUAAGGUAACGGCUUACCAAGGCAACGAUGCGUAGCCGACCUGAGAGGGUGAUCGGCCACACUGGAACUGAGACACGGUCCAGACUCCUACGGAGGCAGCAGUAGGGAAUCUUCCGCAAUGGGCGAAAGCCUGACGGAGCAACGCCGCGUGAGUGAUGAAGGUCUUCGGAUCGUAAAACUCUGUUAUUAGGGAAGAACAAAUGUGUAAGUAACUAUGCACGUCUUGACGGUACCUAAUCAGAAAGCCACGGCUAACUACGUG